UAAAUGACAUAGCCGAAGCUAUAAGAAAUAUUAAUACGACUUCAGAUUUGUCUGAUAAUGACUUGAUGCAAGCUAUAAGAAAUGUCAAUGCGACUUCAGAUAAUAUUGAUGGAUUUUAUCGAGUUUUU
Daktulosphaira vitifoliae (grape phylloxera) is the source of this 128-nucleotide long non-coding RNA. RefSeq lists it as uncharacterized. The record is from RefSeq and is a predicted model, not a curated record. NCBI's taxonomy places the organism in Eukaryota, Metazoa, Arthropoda, Insecta, Hemiptera, Phylloxeridae. The transcript is spliced from 5 exons.